This 1625-nucleotide unclassified non-coding RNA is filed under the name Leishmania donovani. Its description in RNAcentral is "gene:LdHU3.32.3710(CDS-product:DNA_polymerase_III _epsilon_subunit-like_exonuclease)". The record is from RNAcentral. Lineage: Eukaryota; Euglenozoa; Kinetoplastea; Trypanosomatida; Trypanosomatidae.
CCAAACCACUUCACCCUUCCUCUCGUCUUCGGCGGUUGCACGCUCACCCACUCCGCGCACUAAGCACAGGUUCCGUGGCCACAACGAAAAGGUAGCGGCCUUACCGCCGUGGCGAGGGCGUCAACGUUGCCAAAGGCCAGCAGCUCCGGAGCUCGAGUCUGCGGAAGGCAUGCAUGGAUGACCUUUCCGACAGUAUACGGCGCUUCCGGGGGCGGCGCCCGCAGCAACGGCCUCGCCAAGGUGCCGCAGCAAAGGAGAGUGCGCAGCCGGGAAAGGCUCGCUGUGAGCCCACUGCGACAUCGUCGUCAACCCAACGCGGCAUUGCAGCGCUCAUCGAAGCGUGGAUGGGCGACCAGGGGCGACGGAGACCUCCACAGACCUCCGACGCUGCGCCACACUCCUCUGACUCCAUGCACCUCUCCUCGCCCUCACCGCGUCUCGCGGUGCCCCUGCCUCGUAAUGCGAGCUGUGAAGGGGCUGCGUGCGCCAGCCCCUUUGCGCCUGUAUCGCCCAAGGUGCAUCCUCUCCUUGCCGACACCAUCGGGCUUCUGGCUCCGCUGCGAGAAGGUCAAACAGCCCCUGCAUCAUCCCUGAUUUCACAGCUCUCAACUCCCGUCGUGGCCUCGGCAUGGGCAGCUGGCUGCCGCUCCGCCCCUUUCAGCUGUGUUGUCAUAGAUCUUGAAACUACCGGCUUCUCGGCCACCGCAAAUGAGAUUCUCGAAGUGGGCUGCGUCGAGUUGCGGUGGACGCCGCCUUCCCAAACGACCUCGACAGGGCCGAAGCACGUUGCUCCUUGCGCACCGUCGUUGGAGGAGCAAAGCAUGUGCGGUGCCAUCGAGGGACUGUGGACACGCGGGGGGCGAGUGUUUCACCGUUACGUGCGGCCCUCCGACCCCCGCCGCAUCUCCGCAGCCGCUGCAGCCGUUCACGGAAUCACGUGGGAGACGGUGCAGCACUGCUCCCCGUGGACGGUGGCGGCAAGUGAGUUGGUGGCCUACAUGACCCUUGUUGGAGCCGACGCUCCCGUUUCCGCGUCCGCGCAGUUGGAGGCUGCGCAGCUCGGCGGGGACCGCGCUGUUCGUCUCCCGCCGCUGGUGGCGCACAACGCGUCAUUCGACGCGCGCUUCCUUGAGCAUCACCUGCGGCGGUGUGGCUACCAAAUAUUCUGGCACCCUCAAUACCCUCUGACGUGCACUCGGCAGUGGGCGCAGGUGGCCUAUCCGCACCUGCCAAACAAUCUGGAUGCUCUGUGCGCCUUUCUAAGCAUCGAUGGGGCGGCAGAUCGAGUCGCUAACGGCCACGGCGCCCUCACGGAUGCGACCUUGACGGCACUGCUGUUUCUGCAAAUGUGUCGUCGCUGGACGGAGCGGUUUGGUCGUGGCGAGUGAAGGUAUGAGACGAGGGCCGUUAGCUGCUGUUGAGUGGGCGGGGUGGGAACAGCGGAAGAAAACCUGCGGAACGGUGUGUGUGUGUGUGUGUGUGUGUAUGCGACGUCGCCCUCUGUUCGCUGAAGGGCGCUGUGUUUUUGACUUGCUUGACACACCCCUCGCCUUGCCGUCCUCUUCUUUCCAGCAAGCGAGUUGCACAGGACGCAAUCGUUGCUUAUCGGCACGUAUCUUGAAUAG